Molecule: non-coding RNA, 919 nt
Organism: Pygocentrus nattereri (red-bellied piranha)
Lineage: Eukaryota; Metazoa; Chordata; Actinopteri; Characiformes; Serrasalmidae
Source: the annotation of a RefSeq genome assembly
UCAGAAGGUGGAGCUGUGUGCUUUCACAGAAGACAGGCCUCAUUUCUGACUUUUCCUCUUGCUGUUAUUUUCUUUAACCAUCAUGUUCUUCUGUGCAUUUCUGAUUCUUUCAGUAUUAACAGGUGACUCUUUUGAAAAUGUGAUAAGAUCUUAUGGGUCUGUUAUCCCUGCCAGAGAUGGUGAGACUGUUACUCUCUCCUACAACUACAGUGUUUCUCCAUAUGGCUUGUUUUGGUAUCAUCAAUAUUCCAGAUCCAAACCAGAAUUCCUCCUCUCCACCACUGAAUCUGGAGAUCCUGUUGAAGCUGAUUCAUCAGCUUGGUUAUGUGUGCUUGGUGCUGACCGAAUUGGACCAGAUGAUCAGGACACUGAAGUUUUUAGGAAAAAGGGACAAUCAGUUACACAGAAAUGCUCUUAUGUAACAAGCAGUGAAAAUAUCUUUCUCUACUGGUGCAGACAGUAUCCUAACAGAGCUCUACAGUAUUUACUGCAGAGAGGAGCUUGACGGGAGAGUUAUAGUCAUACCUCAGACAGCAGAUUUUCAUCAUCUACAUCCAGUUCAUCCACUGAGUUCAGUUACAGACUAAUUAUGGCAGAUACAGCUCUCUACUACUGUGUUCUUAGAGAUGGAGCCCAGUGACAGAAAGUCUCUGACACGCUUUACAGAAACUUAAAACACCUUCUAUUUGCUUUGAACACAAUCAGAUUGAAGUAACAUCCAAAACACUAUGUAUUAUCUGCUAUUACACUCUCUCUGAGCACAAAGUGAAGUAUGGUUGUAAGACAUCCCACUAUUCUUCAGAUUAAAAUGCAUGUAGUUUGCACUCCAAUCUUAUCAAUAAUAAAUCACGCAAUAAUAAUGCAAACUCUAACAUGACUAGAGUGACAUACAAUUAAAGCUUUAUUUAAUCACAAGAAU